Molecule: ribosomal RNA, 475 nt
Filed under: uncultured Variovorax sp.
Lineage: Bacteria; Pseudomonadati; Pseudomonadota; Betaproteobacteria; Burkholderiales; Comamonadaceae
Description: bacterial SSU rRNA
Rfam family: Bacterial small subunit ribosomal RNA
Source: RNAcentral
CAAAGGAAUUGACGGGACCGCGACAAGCGGUGGAUGAUGUGGUUAAUUCGAUGCAACGCGAAAACCUUACCACCUUUGACAUGUACGGAACUCGCCAGAGAUGGCUUGGUGCUCGAAAGAGAACCGUAACACAGGUGCUGCAUGGCUGUCGUCAGCUCGUGUCGUGAGAUGUUGGGUUAAGUCCCGCAACGAGCGCAACCCUUGUCAUUAGUUGCUACAUUUAGUUGGGCACUCUAAUGAGACUGCCGGUGACAAGCCGGAGGAAGGUGGGGAUGACGUCAAGUCCUCAUGGCCCUUAUAGGUGGGGCUACACACGUCAUACAAUGGCUGGUACAGAGGUUGCCAACCCGCGAGGGGGAGCUAAUCCCAUAAAACCAGUCGUAGUCCGGAUCGCAGUCUGCAACUCGACUGCGUGAAGUCGGAAUCGCUAGUAAUCGCGGAUCAGAAUGUCGCGGUGAAUACGUUCCCGGGUCUU